UUGAGACCAGGAGCCGGACACCUGAGGCUGGCCGCUCUUGUCGCGUGAAGUUGGGCCAGUAUCUGGCCUUCUGUUGCGGCGGCGGCCGUGACGCUGUCCCGGCAGGCUGGCUGGCGUGGCAGGCGUCAGAGGAAGGGGAGUAGAAGAGCUGGGUAAGCCACCCGGGCGUCCAUCCUGCUUCUCUGUGCUUUAUUUUCUCCAUCUUUUUAAAAAGGAGGAUUGAAAGCCCACGGAGCUGCGGUGGUGGGUAGAUGUGCAAGAAGACAUACGCACUCACACAUGCAUAAUACGUACAUACAUGCAUACACACGUACGUAUUCCCAUUCACAGAGCUGAUGAGUAUCGGCUGUACAAAUCCAGGCAUUCCGAGUCCAUGACUCUUGUUUGAGGAAUCACCUGUAGCAGUCAUUUUAAACACGCACGCACGCACGCGCACACUCACGAAGUUGGUGAUUUUAUGUCAGCAGCGUCAUUUGGUAUUAGAAAUGGAACGAAGACAUCUUGAUAAUACAUCUUAUUUCAGCUUCAACUGAAGAGCAGCAAGGAGACCGGUGGGAAGUCGCACUGUUUAAGAAUGGGGUCAUGACUAAAAUCUCAUUUCCAGCUCAGAAUUCUUGUACACAGUAGUCUAUGCAAAUUGCUUUUAAAUUGCUUUCAGAUGGUGUGGGUGUAUGGUUAGGAGGUUGGAGACUUGAAGAGAGUGAAGAGGGUGGUGAGGAGCACUUAGAUACCAGUUUAAUGGCUCAGUAGGUAAGAGCAUUUGUGGCUCUUAUAGAUGAUCGGAAUUUGGUUCCUAGCACCCAUAUCAUAUUGUUCACAAUGACUUUUUGUUGUAUAGGCAAAUGGUUAUGUUGAAUUGUGACAUGGGCAGAAGUAGCACCUGAAAUGCAGUAAUAUGCACAGUAUUAGAAGCUGUAUAGUUCUAGAUGCAAGGAUACAAAUGGACUUACAUUUUGUAUUUUCUUUAAAAAUCCUGUUGCUGGUCAUUCCUGCCAGGAAUUGAUACCAGGGCCUUUAACAUGUGUGCAAGCUGAAGCCUCAGCCUUCACUGCUUUUAUUGUCUUAAGUAAAUGACUCAAACCUAUUUCUAGAGACUUACCAGUUCAUUGGAUUUGGACGUGGACCAGUGACAGGUCAUUUCCAUUUCUGCUCCUUCUGUUGGCCAGUUAACUGCGUCUUACCUUCUGCUGGUGACCAGCUGUGUUCUGUUCUGUUUCCACCUCCCUUCUCUCUUUAGCAUGCUCAUGAAUGUUUAAUUGGUAUGAGUUCCCUGAAAGCAGGGAGCAGUUGUUUCCAUGCUCUGAGUAUUCAGAGAUUAUGCAGCCACAGCAUAUGCCUUUUAUAUGCAUAAUUGAAGGGGAGCAGACACAGGCCCGUGGUUGUAAUAUCGCCGCUUGAGUAUUCUGUAAACGGUGAGUGUGUGGCAUGUAACUUAGCUUGAGAGAGGUGGGAAUUGGGCAGUGCUUCCCAGAGGCGAUUCUGAGCCAUACUUAACUUUUUCUAGCAUGCUGUCUGUACUUUUGGAUGUUGCUUCUUGUUUCUUCCUUCUCUCUUGCUACUUCCCCCUUCAGAUUAGUGUUUGGGAUGUGGAAGGAAAUAGAGUAGACGGCAGAAUGAGGGACAGGCUUAUGGAAAGUAAUGUCCACAUCCAGUCAGUCCAUUUCUAAGAAAUAAGCUCCUGCUUUGUUAAAGGAGACAAGUGGGAAACUCAGGGUUUUUGGCUGGGUGCUUUCCCAGUGGGUGCAUUACAUCCUGUCUCCAAACCAGUCCGUUGAAAUCGCUCAAGUUCCCUUCGGGUAAAAGAUCCAAAUGUAGGCUCAGGACUUGAGGGGGGAGGGCAGAUUUGGGUCCUAGUUCAUACUAUGGAAGUAUUUUGGCUUAGUAACUGCAUGUUGUUUGAAUCAGCUGUGACCUGUUUAAUUUAAAAAACUCAAGUAAAUGGUGGUUUAAUUCUACCAAAUUUGAGUGAGUGAAAACAUCCGGUUAGAGAAACCGGAUUCUGACAGAGUCUGAGAAUAGGAAGAAAAGUCAGUCCACCUGUGAGUUGAGCUCCUUUAUUUCCAGGAUUGGUGUCAGCAGAAAACAGUGACGUGACGGGACACCGUGGACUUGACAAGAACCAUGUAGCCACAGCUCUUUUGAGUGGCAGUGGUACCAGAUCAUCAGUACCCUCCUUGCUAAUGACAGGUUUAUCAGCAGGUUGCAGCUGAGCAUGACCAUGAGGUAAACCCUGCCCCUGGUUGAAAUUUAGUUUCAUCAGCUUCUGCAUGGGAUUGUAAGGACAUGGAAUUUAUCACAAAAUCCAGCAGGUUUCCCUCCCCUCUCCCCUUUAGAUUUAUCCUUCUUGAAGAAGAUAACAUGCUUAAACAAAGGUUCUUUAUGGUUAGUAACUGUGAUUCUUAAAGUUGGUCAACCCCUAGUUUAGGUAAAUUUUAAAUGUCAAAGGUCUAGAUAUCUUAUUAAAUUAAAAACAGUAUUAAAAUCUUAACAGGUGUCAUGUUUUUGCCAUUUACCCAUGUUUGUGUUCUGUGUGAUACAUUCCAGGAAUUCCCACAAGAACUCUGAAAUCAAACUGACCAUGUCUGUGAUCCUUUUUUUCCCAUUUGGUGUUUUUUCCUAUUUCAGUAGCUGAGAAUACCUUUCACUAUAUACACAUGCAUAUUUCAUUAACAGUUUCAGCCAGUUCUGUGCAAGGUUAGAGGCCCAACUUGGCAGGGCAGGUGUAUGUGUGGUAGUAGGGGACAGGGCAGAAAUAGGGAGAGACAGACAGACAGACACACAGAGAGAAGCUGUUAAACUCUCAAGUGAUAAUCAGAAGUCUGAACUGCUGCUCACACCAGUAUAGUCUGGAA
Long non-coding RNA from Onychomys torridus (southern grasshopper mouse), 2852 nucleotides. RefSeq lists it as uncharacterized. The record is from RefSeq and is a predicted model, not a curated record. Lineage: Eukaryota; Metazoa; Chordata; Mammalia; Rodentia; Cricetidae. The transcript has 3 exons.